CCUACGGGCGGCAGCAGUGAGGAAUAUUGGUCAAUGGACGAGAGUCUGAACCAGCCAAGUAGCGUGAAGGAUGACUGCCCUAUGGGUUGUAAACUUCUUUUAUAUGGGAAUAAAAUGUUCCACGUGUGGGAUUUUGUAUGUACCAUAUGAAUAAGGAUCGGCUAACUCCGUGCCAGCAGCCGCGGUAAUACGGAGGAUCCGAGCGUUAUCCGGAUUGAUUGGGUUUAAAGGGAGCGUAGGUGGAUUGUUAAGUCAGUUGUGAAAGUUUGCGGCUCAACCGUAAAAUUGCAGUUGAAACUGGCAGUCUUGAGUACAGUAGAGGUGGGCGGAAUUCGUGGUGUAGCGGUGAAAUGCUUAGAUAUCGCGAAGAACUCCGAUUGCGAAGGCAGCUCACUGGACUGCAACUGACACUGAGGCUCGAAAGUGUGGGUAUCAAACAGGAUUAGAUACCCGAGUAGUC
Molecule: ribosomal RNA, 460 nt
Filed under: uncultured bacterium
Lineage: Bacteria
Description: partial 16S ribosomal RNA
Rfam family: Bacterial small subunit ribosomal RNA
Source: RNAcentral